RNAcentral lists this ribosomal RNA (1020 nucleotides) under Sulfurimonas sp. 1N30-SC-S. Its description in RNAcentral is "bacterial SSU rRNA". It matches the Rfam family "Bacterial small subunit ribosomal RNA", at positions 20 to 1051 of the family's 1533-position model. Lineage: Bacteria; Pseudomonadati; Campylobacterota; Epsilonproteobacteria; Campylobacterales; Sulfurimonadaceae. The record is from RNAcentral.
UGGCUCAGAAUGAACGCUGGCGGCGUGCUUAACACAUGCAAGUCGAACGGUAACAGGAAGUAGCUUGCUAGUUUGCUGACGAGUGGCGCACGGGUGAGUAAUAUAUAGAUAAUGUGCCCCUUGGACCGGGAUAGCCAUUGGAAACGAUGAUUAAUACCGGAUACUCCUUCUUACCAUAAGGUAAGUCGGGAAAUGGAUUCCGCCAAGGGAUCGGUCUAUAUCCCAUCAGUUAGUUGGUAGUGUAAGAGACUACCAAGACGAUGACGGGUAGCGGGUUUGAGAGGAUGAUCCGCCACACUGGUACUGAGACACGGACCAGACUCCUACGGGAGGCAGCAGUGAGGAAUAUUGCACAAUGGGGGAAACCCUGAUGCAGCAACGCCGCGUGGAGGAUGACGCAUUUCGGUGUGUAAACUCCUUUUAUAUGUCAAGAAAAUGACGGUAGCAUAUGAAUAAGCACCGGCUAACUCCGUGCCAGCAGCCGCGGUAAUACGGAGGGUGCAAGCGUUAUUCGGAAUCACUGGGCGUAAAGGACGCGUAGGCGGGUUGGAAAGUCAGAUGUGAAAUCCUACAGCUUAACUGUAGAACUGCAUUUGAAACUUCCAAUCUAGAGUAUGGGAGGGGGAGAUGGAAUUAGUGGUGUAGGGGUAAAAUCCGUAGAUAUCACUAGGAAUACCGAAAGCGAAGGCGAUCUCCUGGAACAUAACUGACGCUAAGGCGUGAAAGCGUGGGGAGCAAACAGGAUUAGAUACCCUGGUAGUCCACGCCCUAAACGAUGUUCACUAGUCGUCGGGAUGCUAGUCAUCUCGGUGAUGCACUUAACAGAUUAAGUGAACCGCCUGGGGAGUACGGUCGCAAGAUUAAAACUCAAAGGAAUAGACGGGGACCCGCACAAGUGGUGGAGCAUGUGGUUUAAUUCGAAGAUACGCGAAGAACCUUACCUAGCCUUGACAUUGAGAGAACCUGCCAGAGAUGGCGGGGUGCCCUUCGGGGAGCUCGAAAACAGGUGCUGCACGGCUG